This 267-nucleotide ribosomal RNA is filed under the name uncultured archaeon. Its description in RNAcentral is "partial 16S ribosomal RNA". It matches the Rfam family "Archaeal small subunit ribosomal RNA", at positions 719 to 982 of the family's 1478-position model. The record is from RNAcentral.
AGUCACUGACAUUAGAUACCCGGGUAGUCCAGGGUGUAAACGCUGCAGACUUGGUGUUGGGAACCCUUCGGGGGUGCUCAGUGCCGGAGAGAAGUUGUUAAGUCUGCUACUUGGGGAGUACGUCCGCAAGGAUGAAAACUUAAAGGAAUUGGCGGGGGAGCACCGCAACGGGAGGAGCGUGCGGUUUAAUUGGAUUCAACGACCGAAAAACUCACCAGCAGCGACUGUUACAUGAAAGUCAGGUUGAUGACCUUACUAGAUUUUCAG